RNAcentral lists this long non-coding RNA (1115 nucleotides) under Ananas comosus (pineapple). RNAcentral describes it as "long non-coding RNA (ACOM_LNC026887)". The record is from RNAcentral. Lineage: Eukaryota; Viridiplantae; Streptophyta; Magnoliopsida; Poales; Bromeliaceae.
GGAAACCGAUAUUCGCCCUGGUACAGGAUUUGAGAAUCUGUAACCCGUUCCGAUACCGAUUGAUAUGGAUCCGGUACCAAUUGUUAGGAUUCCGCAACGGAAGCGUCGAAUCGGGUUUUUACCAUAAACCCGUAUCCUCAACAAAAGUUGAUAUAAUCACAAAAGAGAGAAAAACCAAAAUAGAAAAUAUGCGGGUAAAAUAAGAUUCAUUAAAUAAGAGAAGAUUACACUUGACCCCUUCUGCAACUGAGUAGCUACAACCAAGCCCUCUUUCUGAAUCUUUUCUACCUUUCUCUCGUCUUCUAUAAACCCACAUAAAAGACAACCCUCUCUAUUUCUCUCUCAAUGUACUCGUGCACUACUUGCAUGCAACCAUUAGUUUCUCUCUCCUGGUACGGUUUCACCAAAGAAGACAUUCUCUCUCACCGUACUCUCUCCUCCAAAAGCAUACCAAAGAAUGCAUUUAUAAUGCAUUCUCUAAGACGUAGGCGAAUCCUAAUCUAAUUAGGAUUCCUACUCCAAUUAACAUUUAAAUCUAUAUAUCAUUUAUCUUCAAUAGAUUUAAAUAUUUAUCCUAAUCUAAUUAGAUUUAUACUCUAAUUAAUAUUUAAAUCUUAAUUUAUCUUCAACAAAUUUAAAUAUUAAUUCUUAUCGAACUAGAAUUAAUCUACAAAUCUAAUCAAAUCCUAACCGUCAUGUCUAGAAUAACAAAUAACAAAACAUACUAAUAACACGAACAGAGAAACAAGUUGAGGAAGAGGCAUCAAACAUGACAAAAAGAAUAGGUAAAGGAAAAAAAAAAACUCUUCAAUAAAUUUCCCAUCAGAACAACGCUCAAAGAUGGUAACUAAAAUAAGGAGUCCAGCUACUAUGCUAUUAAUAGCACGAAGCACUUGGUGCUACCAAGUUUUUCGGCGUUAGAUCUACCCUUUUGAUUAUUUUCACCCGUUAGAUCAUACUAUUCAACCAACCACCCACUCAACCUUAGGGGGCCCACAUCAUCCUAACCGCACAUCUUUUAAUCCAAUGGCCAAAAACUUGGUAGCACCAAUGACUUGGUGCUAUUAAUAGUAUAUUAGCCUAGUUCCUAAAAUAAUUAUCUUAUUCAGAUACCA